RNAcentral lists this non-coding RNA (66 nucleotides) under unclassified sequences. Its description in RNAcentral is "S15-Halobacteria ribosomal protein leader". It matches the Rfam family "S15-Halobacteria ribosomal protein leader". The record is from RNAcentral.
CAUGGGAACGCACGGCCGCAAAUCUGACUCGUCGUCCACUUGGGCGGCUCGGGAUUGCGGUAGUGU